UGAGGAACAUGACUUUCGGCGGGGGAUAGCCGGCCCAACGGCCGGGUAAUACCGCGUACGACCUUUCGGGGACAUCCCCGGCUGGUGAAAGCAGCAAUGCACCGAAAGAGUGCCUCGCGGCCUAUCAGCUAGUUGGUGAGGUAACGGCUCACCAAGGCAACGACGGGUAGCUGGUCUGAGAGGAUGGCCAGCCACAUUGGGACUGAGAUACGGCCCAGACUCCUACGGGGAGGCAG
RNAcentral lists this ribosomal RNA (236 nucleotides) under uncultured bacterium. Its description in RNAcentral is "partial 16S ribosomal RNA". It matches the Rfam family "Bacterial small subunit ribosomal RNA", at positions 118 to 351 of the family's 1533-position model. The record is from RNAcentral.